CCCUGUAUCGAAAGUGCCGCCGGCGUGCCUGUCGCCGGUGACAUUGAUAGUACAGGAAGAAAAAAAAUGGGCGAGCCUUCCCCGUGUCUGCCGGAACGCAAUUUCCAGUCAGACCCUGGCGCUAGCGCACA
Nerophis lumbriciformis (worm pipefish) is the source of this 131-nucleotide non-coding RNA. The record is from RefSeq and is a predicted model, not a curated record. Lineage: Eukaryota; Metazoa; Chordata; Actinopteri; Syngnathiformes; Syngnathidae.